Long non-coding RNA from Peromyscus californicus insignis, 5685 nucleotides. RefSeq lists it as uncharacterized. NCBI's taxonomy places the organism in Eukaryota, Metazoa, Chordata, Mammalia, Rodentia, Cricetidae. The record is from RefSeq and is a predicted model, not a curated record. The transcript has 3 exons.
ACACACACACACACACUCACACCCCCCCCCCCCCAAAUGAAUAAUAGGGCCUGGAAAGGUGACUUAGCAGUUAAGAGCAAGCACUUCCUGCUCUUCCAGAGGACCUAAGUUGGGUUCCAAGCACCCACAUUACUUGGCUCACAACUAACUGCUUGUAACUCCAGCUCCAGGGAAUCCAGCACCCUCUUCAGGCCUUCACAGGUACCUUCAUACAUAUGGCACCCACACAUACAUAAAUAAAAACAAAUAUAAAAUGAAUUAAUAAUUUUUAAGAAAUGAGCUUGUAGUUGGAGUGUAGCAUGAUGGAAGAGGACUUACUCAGCAUUCUUAAGACUGUGUUUGAUACCUAGCAUACACAUAGAUACACACACACACACACACACACACACACACACACACACAGACAUACACACAGAGAGAAAUACAAACACCUGAAAAGGAGAAAUAAAUAAUCUCAUUUUAAUCAUCUUCCAGAUAGCUUUGUAUGUACUGGUAAAUCCAAGAAAUCCUUCAGACAUUUUGCUUCUAGCCUCAGAUGAAAAACACGUAAAACCAGGGCAGAAGGCAUCCUGGCCAUCACUGAGGAUGGAGCUGGAUCACCGAUGAAGUUCUCAGAAGCCUGCCUUAUUCCUGUGCCUGGACUCUUAGGUUCUUGUUUGGCUUCUACGGUUUCAAGUUGGGUGUUCUGACACAGCCAAAAACAACCCAACGGAGAAAAGGCCUCCUGAAUCUGUGAGGCACCUUUAUAUAACUCAUCAUUUAGUGAAAUCAGAAAGUUUAGCAUGAAGCGUCUCAGUGGAAUUAGAAGCUGUUGCUAUUAUGAAAUUGUGAGGCAGAGAUGACUAUUGAAAUUAAUGCAACACAAACGACCGGAGAGCUGUUUCAUUAGGCCGGGGAAAGAGGCAGUUCCUAAUUACUGCCAGAUGCUUGUUCCUUUUGCAUGGAUGCCAGGAGGGUGAAACAGCCACCGAGGAAGGAAGUAUUUUCUGAGGAGAGCCGGAUAUUUAGAUUUCUGGGCAGGCUCACAGCGUGAACAUAAACAAUAUUUUAAAAAAUACCUUCUUUCUUCAUGUGGUGGACAGCUGCUGCUCUGGCUGGCCUGGAAGCCAUCUUGGCUUUUCUGGGGGCGGGGCAGGGGUGAGUGGGGAGCUAGCACCCCACUUCUCUGUGUCUCUCUCCUCUGCCUUGUGCCCUGUCAUCUCGUGGGAACCAGCCACACCUGAUCCCAUCCCAGACACUAACCCCCAAAGGUGGGAAUGUGUCUUCAGGCCACUCCCACUCUCACAAGAACUCAGAUCUCCAGGGGAAUGAUGCAAGAGGGAAACGCUCCUUGGAGUCAUUCCUAAAGGGACCCUCCAUGGGUCACGUGAGGGACCCAGAGAUUGCCUUUCGGAAGCCUGGAUCUAGGGGCUCUCCAGUGGCUUCACUUAGGGCAGUGCUGUGUUUUAGCUAUUAUGGUUUAGGUGAGCUGGGUGGGAGUGUGGGUGGAAGCUUGGUUCUGUGUAUAGUGUUGGGAGGAGGCAUGUGUGACUAUAAGCCUGAUAUAAAUGUGUUUAUAGCCCUAAGCUAUCAUAUAAUCAAUUAGAAAAAGUUUAUUGGGAAUGAAAGCGUAUUUUGCUAAUAUGUUUAACACACCAUAGCAUUUACUGCUUACAGGGCACUGCUUCUUUGUUUACUCCUCAUUGUCAUCCACUGGUGUGUCCUUCCUUUGUCCACUGGUGUGUCCUUCCUUUGCUUUUGUUUUAGAUUUAUUUAUUUUUAUUUUAUGUGUAUGUUUUGCCUGCAUGUAUGUGUGUGCGUCUCCUGUGUGUCUGGUGCCCGUGGAGGUCAGAAGAGGAGGCAGAUUCUUUGGGACUGGGGUUAUGGUUGGUUGUGAGCCGCCAUGUGGGUCUUCUGCAAGAGCCAGUGCCCCUAAUCACUGAGCCAUCUCUCCAGUUCUCAGUCACAAGGCUGGUAAAUUAUGGAGCCUUGAUUCAGACGGUUACUCUCUGAAUAAAAUGGUAUAGGUGCAAAAAGAGCUGAAGGCCAGGAGCAAGGGACUGAACAGAGGUUGCCAAAAGCCCCUGGGUUCCAGCUAUCCUUUUUUGAGUACAUUGAAAACUGCUUAGAAUUUCCAAGGGGAAAAUGCUCAUCUUCUUAGUUAACAAGUGUGAACUGAGCCCAAACACCUGUGUUUUCCUUUUGCUGUUGCUAGGUGAUCCGUGAGCAUCCUUGGAACAAUAAAUUAUUGAAAUCUAUGCUGAGCAUAGUUAAUUGUAUAAUUUCAGCUUCUAGCAUUUAUUUCCAUUAAAACUGCCUCAUCAUGUUGGGGGUGUUUAAAAGGCUGAGCAGGAAAAGGGGCAAGUAGACAAUUAUAGCUUUAUUUAUAGUUGCUCUCCUCCACAGUGGACUUCUCUCAGCCCAUUAUUAUCGACUCUAUUAAACACAUGUGGAAUCAGGCACUAAGUCGUUCAACUCCAGGUGCUGAGCUCCUACCAUGUCAAGCAGUGUUCUGGGCUCUGGGGACGUGCCAGUGUACAGGCAGAUAAAACCCUUUGCCUUCACGGUGCUGAUAUUUUUCUGGGGCACUCAUGCUUUAGUUUGAUCAGGCGGCUAUUAUUUUAUAGUAUAUGAUACUUGUUAUAAUGAAGAACAUCAUCGAUUCUAUGAAAUACAGAUAUGGCAUCUCCAUUUUAUAGAUAAGAAAACCGAGGCACAACAAUAUGAAAUAACUUGCUCCAAAUCCCACGGCCGGAAAUAGCCAAGCCUCACUCCUGACUUGCAUGGUUCCAGACUCUGUACACCCAGUGAUUGUACUCUCUCUUUGUAGAUGUGGCUGGCUGAAGGAGGUCAUCACAUCUUAUAUUGCCACUGCACGGUUGAAAAAGUCUGCAUCUCUCCAAGCUCCCGAUUGCUUCCAUCACUGCAGAGAAUGCGUUUGUCGGAGGACUGUGCUGGCUCUCUGGGGGAGAUGUUAGUUGGCCUGGUGUCUAUAGUCAGUCCCCAAAGAGAGGACACUGUGACCAAAGAUUGCCUGCCCACGGUGACAGUAUCUUCUUGGAGACAGUGAAGAUCUGUUAUGUGUCCCAGAUUCAUAGGAACAACCUAUUCACUCCAUAUACGCUAAAGUACUUGUCCUCACAACAAAGUAUGAUAUAUUUCAGAAAGUUAAUGAUGACCUAAUUAUCUGGUCCUAACUUCUCUAAAGUUGUGAUGUGUCUUGUAAAGUGUUCUCUUAUAAUUGUUAUCAGCCAGGAAGUAUUUGUGAUAGCAUGGCUGCCCAUUGAUGUUGCACUAAAUCACAGCUGUUUGUGUACCUCUCCAUUGCUCCCGGUGCUGGAGGAACCCCAGUCCCUCACAUAUGUUAAAGCAAGUGCUGUACCACUGAGCUGCCCUCCAGCCCCUGCUCACAUUUCAGUUGAAUUCUCAACAGUGUUGAUACUGGUUUGUUUCUUGAUUAUGAUGUUUCCCUGGUUCUUGUCUGUUGACGUCUGCUGCUAAGAUCAUUUUGCAAAAUGGAGUGCCAGUGGUGAGAAUGGGGGGUGGGGCAACGAGAAGAGAGGCAGCUGGGAGUACAAUCACAUAUAGCCCUGUGGUCAUGCUAAAAACUGUUGUCUUCAUCCUGAAAGAACAUUGCUUCCCUGAAGAUUAAUUGUCCUUACUUCUGCCCCUGUCGGAAACUAUCCCCAAAGGCUAAUUCUCACUUUAAGGACAGGAAUCAUUUUGCUGAAAGGCUCUGACAGAAAUCUGUCUAUUGAUAAGGUACAGUUCCUUCCCCAUAUGGCUACCUUUUAGGUCUUGAAAUAUGACAAAAUUUACCCACAGGUAAAAUACCUUUAAAACUCAAUUUAGACCCAAGUCUCAGGUUUGUCAAUCACUUUGCGUAAAGGCAGGAUAACUUGCCUAUAUGUCAGCAUGCUAUGCAGCCGAGGCUAGUCAGAAUCUUUUAGGAUGCCUGCGGAGUAGCAAGGCAGUCUCUGUAUUUACAUGUCAUAUUUAAUUAGUUCAAAGAUGCUCAUUUUCCCACAUCUUACUCUCCUAAAAUGAGGAUUUCACUAUAGAAAGGCCUGGUAGCCUCGCCUCGGCAGCAUCUUUCUUUUUUGUUGAUAUGUAAUGACAACUGUAGAGCUGGUAGUGUUUUAGAUACAGUGAUAGAGUAAACAAGUGUCAAAUUCCUGGAAGCGGAGCCUAAGAUACAUUGCGGGGGUUAUACUCGUUCAUUUCUAUGACAAUAAUGAGAUACCCCAGGCUAAGUGCCAUAUUAAGAAGGACGUUUACUUAGCUCACAGUUGAGCAGCUUCUGCUGGGUUCUGGUGAAGGCAGAUAUCCUUAUGGAUACCUAAUGUACCUAAUGGAGAGGUACACAAACAGCUGUGAUUUAGUGCAACAUCAGUGGGCAGCCAUGCUAUCACAAAUACUUCCUGGCUGACAACAAUUAUAAGAGAACACUUUACAAGACAGUGAAUAACCUUACAAUGGCAAGAUCACAUGUAGGAAGGAGAGCUCCCACAGCAAGACAGGAAACCAGUUUUUUGAGGGAUGGGCUGCUCUGCUUUAUGGUCACAGUGUCCACAAAAUGCAGCUGCUUGGAAGAAACAGCAUCAUUGCUCCUGGCGGCACUCAAAGGAAUGGAUGUAUCCUGAUGGUGUCUGAUUUUCCAGCCGAGAGUUCGCAGGCCGCCACUGGCGCAGGGCAACCAGAACCUUCGAGAAGCCUCAUCUACCCAGGAUGAGCUUGACUUCGUAUUUGAAUUGACCUAGAAUAAAUGCUAACGUGGUUAAAGAUGCAACUUGACCAAAUUGCGCCUUCACAGAGUUACACUUGGUGUUAAGGAGACCUUGGCUCAGGGUAUCCAUUGGAGGCCGGCUUACAGAUGAAAAGACUGAUCUCCAUGGUGGCCCCCAGUUCGGCAGUGGCGGAGUCAUGGCUGCAUGCUGAGGUCUGCCCAACGUCAGAGCACAUGGUCCUUCCGUGGUUGCUCAUUGCCCCCAUGGUGAAGAUUCAAAGCUGAACACAGUGACUAACUGGCAGAAUCUGUCACAGCAGGGAGUAGACUCCAUCAGGAGUGCUGCUGCUGUUUAUUGUGCUUGACUGUGAGUUCUGUAUAAUUCUCACGCUCAUAAUGUGGUCUGUGUGGGAGCAUGGAAAGUGCCUAGAAACCAUGCACUGUAUGAUUUGCUACUACAUUGUCACAGAGGAACUAGAUCAGUGGUUCUCAGCCUAUGGGUCAUGACCCCUUCAGGGAGGUUGAACUACCCUUUCACAGGGGCUACAUAUCAGAUAUCCUGCAUAUCAAUCAGAUAUUUACACUGUGAUUCAUAACAGUAGCAAGAUUACAAUUAUGAAGUAGUAAUGAAAAUAGUCUUAUGUUUGGGGGUCACCACAACAUGAGGAGCCAUAUUAAAGGGUCGCAGAGUUAGGAAGGUUGAGGGCCACUGAACUAGAGAAUAGUGCAGACAAUAUUGAGCCUUCCCACGGGGCCAGGUAUACAGUAUGGAAUACAUUAAAUUUGAGCACAUUAUUUUUUCACUCUCCAUUUCUGGCUGCCUCCUAGGUAGAAGUAGACAUGGAUAUCUGAUCAUCCAUCAUGUCCUAUGGGAAAUCACGUAUGUAGCCUUUGACAUGACCAGCAUUUACAAGGCUCUAUUGAGUAUGUGAUCAAGUCUUGGUUAUCGGGCACACACAAGUGGAAAAGCACAGCUUCAA